AUUAACAGCAGUGCCUGAAAGUGAAAGGUGCAGGCUGGCUGCUUAUUUAUAUAUUUUUUAUGGCUAUUCUCAGCCAGCCUGCACCUUUCACUUUAAGGCACAUCUUCUGUUAUU
Non-coding RNA from Pelobates cultripes (western spadefoot toad), 114 nucleotides. NCBI's taxonomy places the organism in Eukaryota, Metazoa, Chordata, Amphibia, Anura, Pelobatidae. The record is from the annotation of a GenBank genome assembly.